UAAUACGGAGGGUGCAAGCGUUAUCCGGAUUUAUUAGGUUUAAAGGGUUCGCAGGCGGAAUUUUAAGUCAGUGGUGAAAGCCUAUAGCUCAACUAUAGAACUGCCAUUGAUACUGAUAUUCUUGAGUAUAGAUGAAGUGGGCGGAAUAUGUCAUGUAGCGGUGAAAUGCAUAGAUAUGACAUGGAACACCAAUUGCGAAGGCAGCUCACUAAACUAUUACUGACGCUCAUGAACGAAAGCAUGGGGAGCGAACAGGAUUAGAUACCCUGGUAGUCCAUGCCGUAAACUAUGAUCACUAGAUAUUGGCGAUAUAUUGUCAGUGUUAAAGAGAAAUCGAUAAGUGAUCCACCUGGGGAGUACGUUCGCAAGAAUG
RNAcentral lists this ribosomal RNA (373 nucleotides) under uncultured Bacteroidota bacterium. RNAcentral describes it as "bacterial SSU rRNA". It matches the Rfam family "Bacterial small subunit ribosomal RNA", at positions 521 to 896 of the family's 1533-position model. The record is from RNAcentral. Lineage: Bacteria; Pseudomonadati; Bacteroidota.